UACAGAGGGGGCAAGCGUUGUUCGGAAUUACUGGGCGUAAAGGGCGCGUAGGCGGCCGCCUAAGUCAGACGUGAAAUCCCUCGGCUCAACCGGGGAACUGCGUCUGAUACUGGGUGGCUUGAGUCCGGGAGAGGGAUGCGGAAUUCCAGGUGUAGCGGUGAAAUGCGUAGAUAUCGGGAGGAACACCGGUGGCGAAGGCGGCCCCCUGGUUGGAUACUGACGCUGAGACGCGAAAGCGUGGGGAGCAAACAGG
RNAcentral lists this ribosomal RNA (253 nucleotides) under uncultured bacterium. RNAcentral's name for it is "partial 16S ribosomal RNA". It matches the Rfam family "Bacterial small subunit ribosomal RNA", at positions 524 to 776 of the family's 1533-position model. The record is from RNAcentral.